Long non-coding RNA from Ornithodoros turicata, 308 nucleotides. RefSeq lists it as uncharacterized. NCBI's taxonomy places the organism in Eukaryota, Metazoa, Arthropoda, Arachnida, Ixodida, Argasidae. The record is from RefSeq and is a predicted model, not a curated record. The transcript is spliced from 3 exons.
CAAUGUUCUAUUUCACAGGGUUGGACACUCGAUCACCAUGCCCAGGUGCGCACGAUUAUCUGUUCGACAAAAGAGGGGCUUACGGCUGUCAAUAUUAUUGCAAGAAGAGGCCUCACGAGAUCGUCGAUCGUCCUGAUGGUCAUCAGUGUCUGGACCCCAGAACGGCACGUACUGGCGGAUGUCGUGGAGGUUAUUGCCAUAAGUUCUAUAGCUGGGAUGUCUGAAGAUAUCAAGAUAGAAAUCGAGAAAUAUCUGGUUGUUUUGCUUGUCAAUGCCUCUGUUGGAUCGAUAAAACCUAUUUGCAUGUU